CAGUAGCCGCGGUAAUACGUAGGGUGCGAGCGUUAAUCGGAAUUACUGGGCGUAAAGCGUGCGCAGGCGGUUGUGUAAGACAGGUGUGAAAUCCCCGGGCUUAACCUGGGAACUGCGCUUGUGACUGCACAGCUAGAGUAUGGCAGAGGGGGGUGGAAUUCCGCGUGUAGCAGUGAAAUGCGUAGAUAUGCGGAGGAACACCGAUGGCGAAGGCAAUCCCCUGGGCCUGCACUGACGCUCUUGCACGAAAGCGUGGGGAGCAAACAGGAUUAGAUACCCCCGUAGUCCCUGUCUCUUAUAC
Molecule: ribosomal RNA, 301 nt
Filed under: uncultured bacterium
Lineage: Bacteria
Description: partial 16S ribosomal RNA
Rfam family: Bacterial small subunit ribosomal RNA
Source: RNAcentral